RNAcentral lists this ribosomal RNA (372 nucleotides) under uncultured bacterium. RNAcentral's name for it is "bacterial SSU rRNA". It matches the Rfam family "Bacterial small subunit ribosomal RNA", at positions 28 to 402 of the family's 1533-position model. The record is from RNAcentral.
GACGAACGCUGGCGGCGUGCUUAACACAUGCAAGUCGAGCGGUAAGGCCCUUUUGGGGGUACACGAGCGGCGAACGGGUGAGUAACACGUGGGUGACCUGCCCUCAGCUCUGGGAUAAGCCUGGGAAACUGGGUCUAAUACUGGAUAUGACCUUUCCUCGCAUGGGGGUUGGGUGGAAAGUUUUUCGGCUGGGGAUGGGCCCGCGGCCUAUCAGCUUGUUGGUGGGGUGAUGGCCUACCAAGGCGACGACGGGUAGCCGGCCUGAGAGGGCGACCGGCCACACUGGGACUGAGACACGGCCCAGACUCCUACGGGAGGCAGCAGUGGGGAAUAUUGCGCAAUGGGCGGAAGCCUGACGCAGCGACGCCGCGU